Molecule: RNA transcript, 3383 nt
Organism: Setaria italica (foxtail millet)
Lineage: Eukaryota; Viridiplantae; Streptophyta; Magnoliopsida; Poales; Poaceae
Gene name: probable transcription factor At1g11510
Exons: 6
Source: RefSeq, a predicted model, not a curated record
AACCGCUCGUCACGAAACAACAGUUCAAAAUGUUGUUCUUUCAAUAUUCUGGCAGCACAUACAAAUGUGAACCCAUGUUAACUACAUACCGAAGCUAGAAAAGAUCGAUUUGAUUCAUCUCCGAUUGAUAGAAGUGAAAUAAUGACACAUCGUGAAAUAAUUUCUGCUUCUCUCUUCUGCUGCCUUCUUCUUAAGCAUCCAAAAAUGGAUACUACAAUGGAACACUCUGCAUCUGUAGUAUCUUCAGCAACUCUUCCAGUGCCAUUUCCUGCUAUUGAGAAUAUUUCAUGCUACCAUUCCCUAGCUAGCUGCGGCCCGAUGGCUUCUGAAGUUGUCAUCUACCUUCUGAACAACGGAUUCAAAGUUUGCGUACCUUCUGAACUCGUCUCAUGCAAGGAAAAAGGAAGAAGAUGGGAGUUCUUGUCAAUUUGGGAUCCGGUCGCACGACGGAACAACCGUAUAGUACGCAGCAGGUUCCACCCCCCUCGGAAGCGAAUCUUCGAUCAUGAGCCACGCCGACGCCGGCGGCUGCCCCGAAGGCGGGGCAGUAGACCACAUCAGCGGUCUGCCAGACCACCUCCUCCACGACGUCCUUAGCCGCCUCCCGGGCACCGCCGCCGCCGCCGCGCGCACCAGCAUCCUCUCCCGCCGCUGGCGCCGCGUCUGGACCCACCUCCCCGCGCUCUCCCUCUGCGAAAGGGCUACGUCCACGAGCUUCGACCUGAAGAUGCGCGUCCUGCGGUUCCCAGUGCUGCCCCAGCACGCCGCCGGCGUGUUCAAGGCGCUGGCCACUCUCAAGAUAUGCCUCGCCCGCAGGGACGCCCCCACCUUCCUUGCGUCGCCUCCUCCUACCAGGCCGGCCCACUCACCCAAAAGGCCCAUCAGGCACCAGCUGCCUGCCUCUCCCCCAAUCGGCCGCUCGCUCCCCCAAUCGGCGGAAACGAAAUCGAAUCGAAAUCCCCAACCCUAGCAGGCGAGCGGCGAGCCGGCGGCCGUCCGAGGGCCGAGGCCGACGGGAGGCGGCCGCGGGAGGGGUGAGGGGGCUGCCGUGGCCCGUGGCCCGUGGCCGCGGCCGGCGGCGGCACCGCGGCAGGCCGCAGGCCAGCAGCCACCCGCUGAGCCGCCGGCGGCCGGGCGGCCGGCGACAUCCCGUUCCUGCAUCUGUGCAUCACGGCGGUCGGCGGCGGGCAGCAUUCGGCAUUGGCAUCGGCAAAAGGACUACUGAACAGGGUGAGAUGGGAAUACCCAACUUUCAAAUCCUGGCUUCACCACUAUCGACGGCGUCCUCCGACGACACUACCACCACCAAUGUCUCUGACGAACACUUGAGUCCCCCGUCGUCGCCUUCCAUAUCCUUCGACUCUGUUUCCGAAUCCGAUGCCUCCACCUCCUCCUCAGUGGCCUCGGAUGGCUCCUCCGGGUCCGAACCCGUCGUUUCCAAGAAACCCCGCCUCCCCGUGCGCUCGUGGCUAGCCUCCGACGAGAUCGCGCUUCUCGAGGCCGUCUCGGAGCACCGCCAGAAGCACGGCCGACUGCCGUCGCCCAACCACCUCGCCGCGGCGCUCCGCAGCCGCCUUCGCGCGAAGGACCGCCUGAGCGCCGAUGAGAUCUCCAGGAGGCUGCGCGCACUCCGCUCCCGGUACGAUAAUGCUGUGCUCCGCAUGUCCCGCGGCACCAUCCCAGUGAAGGACGACGAUGUCACGAUCUACAAGCUCUCCAAGCUCAUCUGGGAGGGCACGCGCAAGGGAAAGAGGGAAAAGAAGACCCGUGCGGCCGACAUGCGCAAGGACCCAAGGGAGUUCGGCGAGUUGACAGGGCUGUACCCUUGCCUCUCAGCGGAGGUUGAGGCGAUUGACACAGGGAGCGGCGCUGCAGCCGCCGGGUUGCUGAAGAGGGCGUUUGAGCGCAUCGGCGAUGACACGGCGGCACGGCUGGAGGCGAAGGUGAAGAUGCAGCGGGUGGCAGAGGCCAGGGCGAGCGCAAAGCUUGACCAGCUGAGGACGAAUGUCGCCAAGGUGCUUCUCCAGUUGAUCGAAUGAAUGAAAGUGGACUGGUUGUCCUUCCCUUCUUCUCCCUUGGCGGCAACGGAGGCGACUGCGGAGACACCUCCUCCAAGCUGCAGUGUGCUGACAGCUUGGCGACCUCGAGUGACAGCUGUCCGACCUAGGCAGGCGGCAGUUGUGUUCCAAGCGCCUCCGAUGCUGGUCAUUGUGCUGGGGAUUCAGAUCCCGUGCACCUGGAACCAAGGAGUUGGGGCUUACGGCGUGGGAUUGAAGCUCCGCGAACCGGCGUGGUGCCUUCCUUGCUGUGAUGAUUUAAUCAUGGGUUGGAGCAGGGGAUUAAGGUACAUUGCUAAUUCGCAGCAGCACGGUGUUCCGCUGAAUCAAGGAAAUCUUCAACGGGCUCAUUCUUAGAUGUUCAUGAUGUGUCUCUUGCGUAAACACUCCACAACUACCAAGCUGCAAACAUUGGUAUGGAGCACUGGCAAUUUUGGCUUUUAUUUCAGAUCUCUACGAAGUUAUUGUUAAGCAAGUAUAGGUUGUUCUUACCAACAACUGUUGUAUGGUGUGGCGCAUGGAAAUGUGCCAUUUAGUAUUCCAGAAGAGCAAAAUCCAGUGACAAAUACUAAUGGUGGAGAUGCAAUUGGACCAGAUUCAGACAAUGCAAGUCCGUCUAUUGACACUGCUAGUAACGAAACCGAUGAACGGCACAUGGACAUUGGCUACCUGGAAAGUGAAGAAUGCAUGUCAGAUACUGAUGGAGAAUCUUACUGGGAUUGAAACAGAUGACUGGGAUGUAUUCUAUUCCACUAGUGAACUAGUGAAAGUUGGAGAAAAUAAAGGACCUGGACAAGUGAAUCAUGCGUGUAGUAAUGAUUCAGGUGUUGGCAAUGCUGUGGAAAAUAGUACCAUCAUUCCAAGGGGCGAAGAAAGUAACACGGGAGGAUGGAAAAAAAGGUCAGUACUUAUUCCAAGGGGCAAAGAAAGGAAGUUGGGUCCUCAACAACGAGGGCUAUCAAACAAUGAGAGAAGUUGUUUGCCAGAGACAGGGCUUCGACAAAAGGACCAAGAGCAAGACAAAAGGCUGUCACUGCAAGGCGAUGAUUAGGCUGCACCGUACAGAAGAUGAUGGUUGGUUCAUUUCAACAUAUGUGAAGGAGCACAACCAUGAGUUUUCAGAAACAGAUGGCAGAGAAACGGGAAUGGAAUUCACAUAAGAAGAUAGAGCAAACAACAAGGGACAUGGUCAAAUAUUUACAGAGUGCUAUGUUUGGAUUGGGCCAGCUAUUCAAUUUGCUUCCAUGAAUUUAUUUAUGUAUCUACUUUUAAGCUUUUGCUCGAAUUUUUGAGCGUGCAAGGACUGGCCAGCACUUGCUUUGGGUC